This 225-nucleotide ribosomal RNA is filed under the name uncultured Acinetobacter sp. RNAcentral's name for it is "partial 16S ribosomal RNA". It matches the Rfam family "Bacterial small subunit ribosomal RNA", at positions 568 to 792 of the family's 1533-position model. Lineage: Bacteria; Pseudomonadati; Pseudomonadota; Gammaproteobacteria; Moraxellales; Moraxellaceae. The record is from RNAcentral.
UGCGUAGGCGGCUUUUUAAGUCGGAUGUGAAAUCCCCGAGCUUAACUUGGGAAUUGCAUUCGAUACUGGGAAGCUAGAGUAUGGGAGAGGAUGGUAGAAUUCCAGGUGUAGCGGUGAAAUGCGUAGAGAUCUGGAGGAAUACCGAUGGCGAAGGCAGCCAUCUGGCCUAAUACUGACGCUGAGGCGCGAAAGCCAGGGGAGCAAACGGGAUUAGAUACCCCAGUC